Molecule: ribosomal RNA, 257 nt
Filed under: uncultured bacterium
Lineage: Bacteria
Description: partial 16S ribosomal RNA
Rfam family: Bacterial small subunit ribosomal RNA
Source: RNAcentral
UACGGGGGGGAGCAAGCGUUAUUCGGAAUUAUUGGGCGUAAAGGGCGCGUAGGUGGCUUGGCAAGUGGAAGGUGAAAUCCUUCGGCUCAACUGAGGAACUGCCUUCCAGACUGCUUUGCUUUGAGGCCGGGAGAGGCGAGUGGAAUUCCCAGUGUAGCGGUGAAAUGCGUAGAUAUUGGGAGGAACACCAGUGGCGAAGGCGACUCGCUGGACCGGUUCUGACGCUGAGGCGCGAAAAGCGUGGGGGAGCAAACAGG